GACGAACGCUGGCGGCGUGCUUAACACAUGCAAGUCGAACGGAAAGGCCCUGCUUUUGUGGGUUGCUCGAGUGGCGAACGGGUGAGUAACACGUGAGUAACCUGCCCUUGACUUUGGGAUAACUUCAGGAAACUGGGGCUAAUACCGGAUAUGAGCUCCUGCUGCAUGGUGGGGGUUUGAAAGGUUCGGCGGUUGGGGAUGGACUCGCGGCUUAUCAGCUUGUUGGUGGGGUAGUGGCUUACCAAGGCUUUGACGGGUAGCCGGCCUGGGAGGGUGACCGGCCACAUUGGGACUGAGAUACGGCCCAGACUCCUACGGGAGGCAGCAGUGGGGAAUAUUGCACAAUGGGCGGAAGCCUGAUGCAGCAACGCCGCGUGCGGGAUGACGGCCUUCGGGUUGUAAACCGCUUUCGCCUGUGACGAAGCGUGAGUGACGGUAAUGGGUGAAGAAGCACCGGCUAACUACGUG
Molecule: ribosomal RNA, 468 nt
Filed under: uncultured bacterium
Lineage: Bacteria
Description: partial 16S ribosomal RNA
Rfam family: Bacterial small subunit ribosomal RNA
Source: RNAcentral